GAUGAACGCUGGCGGCGUGCCUAAUACAUGCAAGUCGAGCGAACAGACGAGGAGCUUGCUCCUCUGACGUUAGCGGCGGACGGGUGAGUAACACGUGGAUAACCUACCUAUAAGACUGGGAUAACUUCGGGAAACCGGAGCUAAUACCGGAUAAUAUAUUGAACCGCAUGGUUCAAUAGUGAAAGACGGUUUUGCUGUCACUUAUAGAUGGAUCCGCGCCGCAUUAGCUAGUUGGUAAGGUAACGGCUUACCAAGGCGACGAUGCGUAGCCGACCUGAGAGGGUGAUCGGCCACACUGGAACUGAGACACGGUCCAGACUCCUACGGGAGGCAGCAGUAGGGAAUCUUCCGCAAUGGGCGAAAGCCUGACGGAGCAACGCCGCGUGAGUGAUGAAGGUCUUCGGAUCGUAAAACUCUGUUAUUAGGGAAGAACAAAUGUGUAAGUAACUAUGCACGUCUUGCCGGUACCUAAUCAGAAAGCCACGGCUAACUACGUGC
Molecule: ribosomal RNA, 498 nt
Filed under: uncultured bacterium
Lineage: Bacteria
Description: partial 16S ribosomal RNA
Rfam family: Bacterial small subunit ribosomal RNA
Source: RNAcentral